Molecule: long non-coding RNA, 362 nt
Filed under: Durio zibethinus
Lineage: Eukaryota; Viridiplantae; Streptophyta; Magnoliopsida; Malvales; Malvaceae
Description: long non-coding RNA (DZIB_LNC000256)
Source: RNAcentral
UCAAUGAAUUUCUCAGCACUAGCAAAUUUCAAAACAAAUUUCAUCCACCAUCACUGGGUCCUUGUCUCAGCAUCAACCAUUCCAAAACAAACUCUGUCCACUGAUUGUUCCCACCAUUCGACCAAUUCAUCCUUGUACUCAUCACUUGGUUGUAUCACUUUUCAAGAUUUGCCCCAUCAUAUUCUCUAUUUGGUCACAUCAUACAUCCUUUUAAAUCAUCUCUUUUAGGUUUCUACCAUUUUUUCAUCAUCUUAGAUUUCUUUUCAAAUGAAUGUAAGAUUCUUUUAAACACAUAUUCAUUCAUUCAUUAUCAUUUCAAUUCUUGACAAAUAUAAUGCAAUCAAGCAUUUUCUCAAUUCAUU